Molecule: ribosomal RNA, 409 nt
Filed under: uncultured Rhizophagus
Lineage: Eukaryota; Fungi; Glomeromycota; Glomeromycetes; Glomerales; Glomeraceae
Description: partial 28S ribosomal RNA
Source: RNAcentral
GAGAGUUAAACAGUACGUGAAAUUGUUGAAAGGGAAACGAUUAAAGUCAGUCGUACCUACGAGUAAUCAACCUACACGAGCGCGAUUUUGUGGGUAUGAAGAGGUAAAACCUUCAUGUUUGCAAAUUGGUGUUCUUUGGGCGUACUUUCUCGUAUGGUAGGUUAACAUCAAUUUCGAUCGUUAUAAAAUGACGGGAGGAAUGUAGCUUCGACUUCGGUUGAAGUGUUAUAGCCUCUGGUAGAUGUAAUGAUUGGGAUUGAGGAUUGCAACGGAUACUCUCUGGGCUAUUCGUCUGAUCUCUGGAAGUUACCUUGGUGUCGAAAGCGUGCUUAUGACAUUAAGAAUGACGGCCAAAAGGUUAGAACGGAAUUAAAUUCGUUAAGGAUGUUGACGUAAUGGCUUUAAACGA